AGUGGGGAAUAUUGCGCAAUGGGCGGAAGCCUGACGCAGCGACGCCGCGUGGGGGAUGAAGGCCUUCGGGUUGUAAACCCCUUUCACCAGGAGCGAAUCCAGACGGUACCUGGGGAAGAAGCGCCGGCUAACUACGUGCCAGCAGCCGCGGUAAUACGUAGGGCGCAAGCGUUGUCCGGAAUUAUUGGGCGUAAAGAGCUCGUAGGCGGCCUGUCGCGUCCGCUGUGAAAUCCUGGGGCUUAACCCCGGGCCUGCAGUGGAUACGGGCUGGCUAGAGGCAGGCAGGGGAGAACGGAAUUCCCGGU
This 305-nucleotide ribosomal RNA is filed under the name uncultured temperate forest soil bacterium C6017. RNAcentral describes it as "bacterial SSU rRNA". It matches the Rfam family "Bacterial small subunit ribosomal RNA", at positions 353 to 674 of the family's 1533-position model. Lineage: Bacteria; Bacillati; Actinomycetota; Actinomycetes. The record is from RNAcentral.